Molecule: ribosomal RNA, 428 nt
Filed under: uncultured Streptococcus sp.
Lineage: Bacteria; Bacillati; Bacillota; Bacilli; Lactobacillales; Streptococcaceae
Description: bacterial SSU rRNA
Rfam family: Bacterial small subunit ribosomal RNA
Source: RNAcentral
CGAAGCAACGCGAAGAACCUUACCAGGUCUUGACAUCCCGAUGCUAUUUCUAGAGAUAGAAAGGUUACUUCGGUACAUCGGUGACAGGUGGUGCAUGGUUGUCGUCAGCUCGUGUCGUGAGAUGUUGGGUUAAGUCCCGCAACGAGCGCAACCCCUAUUGUAGUUGCCAUCAUUCAGUUGGGCACUCUAGCGAGACUGCCGGUAAUAAACCGGAGGAAGUGGGGAUGACGUCAAAUCAUCAUGCCCCUUAUGACCUGGGCUACACACGUGCUACAAUGGUUGGUACAACGAGUUGCGAGUCGGUGACGGCGAGCUAAUCUCUUAAAGCCAAUCUCAGUUCGGAUUGUAGGCUGCAACUCGCCUACAUGAAGUCGGAAUCGCUAGUAAUCGCGGAUCAGCACGCCGCGGUGAAUACGUUCCCGGGCCUU